Long non-coding RNA from Numida meleagris (helmeted guineafowl), 1860 nucleotides. RefSeq lists it as uncharacterized. NCBI's taxonomy places the organism in Eukaryota, Metazoa, Chordata, Aves, Galliformes, Numididae. The transcript has 3 exons. The record is from RefSeq and is a predicted model, not a curated record.
GGAAGUAAUGUGUUAUUUUUCUCUCCUCUUUCUUCCUCUGUCCACUUUGCCUGUUUGAUGGGUUUGGGGAGGAAAAGCACUACACUGCAAGGGCAGCAAACCACAUCCAGGUCCUUCUUGUGCUUCAUCUCCUCAGCUGCUUGUCCCCCUGCUGUUUCCAAUCAUUGUAGUGAUCCAUAUCCGCACACUUUCUCUUCCUCUCAUUCCCAUGCUUGCUCUCGCUCUUUUCUUUUUUGUGUGUGUUCAUAACUAUCCUGAAUGUCUGAGCUUCAGAGCGGGUAAAGCUGAACCCACCUUUGUGUUCCUCAAAGCCCUGGGAUUUCUUUGCUAUGCUCAUCUCCCAGCAGCACAGACCAAUUAAUAUUGUCUUCAGGCCCUUUCCCAGACCCGCGCGUGUUCUUGUUGUUCUCUGAAAAGGCACAUCAUCUCCAUCCCCAUGGCUGCUACUGACUGCUCCUUCCAAUUUAUUUUCAGGUGCUCUUACUGCAGGUUGCAUCCACCAGUUCCCUUUCCAGAAGGGAUGAGUGUAAUUGCUUCAGAUUCUUCUGACAGUCUGUAUCUCGGAAGACCAUUUGGAGGAGACUAUCUGGCAUCCCUCUUCUGUGCUGAAUUCUGAAAGGCCCAAGGUCUUGCCUGGAGAAGCAGUGAACAGUGGUGGACAAAUGAGUUUCUGGGAUUUGUAUCUGGGAGAAGCAGAAUGUACUUGGCCUGUUCUGAGGUGGGAUUGUGAAACAAGUAGAAUCGCAGAGAGCAUCAUUCUUAGAGAAGUGUGAUAAUGAAGCAUUUGCUUUGGUGUAGCAGCAUCUACACCAGUAUAUCUGCAUUCAUCUGUAUGGCUCUUCUCUCACCCGCAUCCUUCAGGAUGUUUCAGCCUUGCAGCACCAAAGGAAGUUGAGGGAGCAAUGCUAGAGGCACCAGAAACCACUCUGCUCCUUCUGAUGGUGGCUACAACAGCCCAGACACCAUGCAGACAUCUUUCUGCAGACAGAUGAGGAGAUCUGCUCCAGACCCAGCAGCCUGCAUCCCCGCUGGUGGGAACUGCAGCAGGGCUGGGAGCGGGGCCAGGCUCCCUGCUUCCUUUCUUCCUUCUUGCUGUACUACCAUGGUUGUCCCUACGGGCCUCCUAACAGCCUUGCCAUGGUUGAUGGAGAAAGAUCUUUCCUUCCUGUAUCUCUUCUCAUCCAGAACGCCUUUUUAAUGUUUUCCUGCUUUGCUGGUUCUUACAUUUUAGAUUUCAGCCGUGUGCAUGUUUUAUCCCUUGUGCUCUCUUAAAGCUAAAACUAGGAAUUAAGACAAUCUUACAGAGAGGGUGUUUUUUUUUUGCAAUUAGUUGCACAAUCAAGUUUUUUUGAGAAGGAGCAAAUCUGCAUUUUGCCAUUGAGAGUUGCCCUGUCUGCUUUGCAUUUGAGUAAACCCAGCCUGAGGCUUUGAAAAAAAGCCCCUGCAGGACCAGCAUGUCCCUGACUGGAAGAGGAGUGCGUUCAACACCUGGUUUGUGAUGAUGAUAAGGCGUUUCCUGCCACUCAGCCCUUCUAGCUCUCCUAAGAGAGCCUAGCCCUGCCUGUGGACAGGUCCCUGCUUGUUUCAUGCAUUGUUCAAAUUGUUCAGCAAGUUCUUACGAAGGAAAACAGCUCAGUCACAAAGAGGUUAUGUGGCUGUCAUGGGCACGACUGGAAUGUCAUCUCUUGCUUGGCUUGGGAGAAAAUAAAACUGAUUUAUGUGCGGAUGCUGGUCAAGGUACCUGGAGCAUCUUGGUGUGCAAAUGAUUUGCCAAGUUGGUUUUUACAGCAGGACUCCUCUGUUGCAUUCCACGGAGGAAUUACUAACGUGAUGCCGGAGAGAAAGGGUGCUGUAGUCCAG